GACGUAGGUGGCGAACGUUAUCCGGAAUUAUUGGGCGUAAAGGGCUCGUAGGCGGCCAACUAAGUCGGAUGUGAAAUCCCCAGGCUUAACCUGGGAACUGCAUCCGAUACUGGAUGGCUUGAAUCCGGGAGAGGGAUGCAGAAUUCCAGGUGUAGCGGUGAAAUGCGUAGAUAUCUGGAGGAAUACCGGUGGCGAAGGCGGCAUCCUGGACCGGCAUUGACGCUGAUGAGCGAAAGCUAGGGGAGCAAACGGG
RNAcentral lists this ribosomal RNA (253 nucleotides) under uncultured bacterium. RNAcentral's name for it is "partial 16S ribosomal RNA". It matches the Rfam family "Bacterial small subunit ribosomal RNA", at positions 524 to 776 of the family's 1533-position model. The record is from RNAcentral.